Molecule: ribosomal RNA, 456 nt
Filed under: uncultured organism
Description: bacterial SSU rRNA
Rfam family: Bacterial small subunit ribosomal RNA
Source: RNAcentral
GCGCACCAGGCGAAAAUUUUUCUCAAUGGGGGAAACCCUGAAGGAGCGACGCCGCGUGGAGGAUGAAGGCCUUCGGGUUGUAAACUCCUGUCAUUUGAGAACAAGCGCCGGCAAGUAACUACUGCCGGCUUGAUAGUAUCAGAGGAGGAAGGGACGGCUAACUCUGUGCCAGCAGCCGCGGUAAUACAGAGGUCCCAAGCGUUGUUCGGAUUCAUUGGGCGUAAAGGGUGCGUAGGUGGCGCCGUAAGUCAGGUGUGAAAUUUCGGAGCUUAACUCCGAAACUGCAUUUGAUACUGCGGUGCUUGAGGACUGGAGAGGAGACUGGAAUUUACGGUGUAGCAGUGAAAUGCGUAGAGAUCGUAAGGAAGACCAGUGGCGAAGGCGGGUCUCUGGGACAGUUCCUGACACUGAGGCACGAAGGCCAGGGGAGCAAACGGGAUUAGAUACCCGUGUAGU